This 331-nucleotide ribosomal RNA is filed under the name uncultured bacterium. RNAcentral describes it as "bacterial SSU rRNA". It matches the Rfam family "Bacterial small subunit ribosomal RNA", at positions 568 to 898 of the family's 1533-position model. The record is from RNAcentral.
CGCGUAGGCGGAUAGUACAGUCAGACGUGAAAUUCCUGGGCUCAACCUGGGGACUGCGUUUGAUACGUGCUGUCUUGAGUGAGGAAGAGGGUUGUGGAAUUCCCAGUGUAGAGGUGAAAUUCGUAGAUAUUGGGAAGAACACCGGUGGCGAAGGCGGCAACCUGGUCCUUUACUGACGCUGAGGCGCGAAAGCGUGGGGAGCAAACAGGAUUAGAUACCCUGGUAGUCCACGCUGUAAACGAUGUGUGCUGGAUGUUGGGUGACUUAGUCACGCAGUGUCGUAGCUAACGCGAUAAGCACACCGCCUGGGGAGUACGGCCGCAAGGUUGAA